GGGUUGUGAGGUUAAGCGACUAAGCGUACACGGUGGAUGCCCUGGCAGUCAGAGGCGAUGAAGGACGUGCUAAUCUGCGAUAAGCGUCGGUAAGGUGAUAUGAACCGUUAUAACCGGCGAUUUCCGAAUGGGGAAACCCAGUGUGAUUCGUCACACUAUCAUUAACUGAAUCCAUAGGUUAAUGAGGCGAACCGGGGGAACUGAAACAUCUAAGUACCCCGAGGAAAAGAAAUCAACCGAGAUUCCCCCAGUAGCGGCGAGCGAACGGGGAGCAGCCCAGAGCCUGAAUCAGUGUGUGUGUUAGUGGAAGCGUCUGGAAAGGCGCGCGAUACAGGGUGACAGCCCCGUACACAAAAAUGCACAUACUGUGAGCUCGAUGAGUAGGGCGGGACACGUGGUAUCCUGUCUGAAUAUGGGGGGACCAUCCUCCAAGGCUAAAUACUCCUGACUGACCGAUAGUGAACCAGUACCGUGAGGGAAAGGCGAAAAGAACCCCGGCGAGGGGAGUGAAAAAGAACCUGAAACCGUGUACGUACAAGCAGUGGGAGCACAGAGCAAUCUGUGUGACUGCGUACCUUUUGUAUAAUGGGUCAGCGACUUAUAUUCUGUAGCAAGGUUAACCGAAUAGGGGAGCCGAAGGGAAACCGAGUCUUAACUGGGCGUUAAGUUGCAGGGUAUAGACCCGAAACCCGGUGAUCUAGCCAUGGGCAGGUUGAAGGUUGGGUAACACUAACUGGAGGACCGAACCGACUAAUGUUGAAAAAUUAGCGGAUGACUUGUGGCUGGGGGUGAAAGGCCAAUCAAACCGGGAGAUAGCUGGUUCUCCCCGAAAGCUAUUUAGGUAGCGCCUCGUGAAUUCAUCUCCGGGGGUAGAGCACUGUUUCGGCAAGGGGGUCAUCCCGACUUACCAACCCGAUGCAAACUGCGAAUACCGGAGAAUGUUAUCACGGGAGACACACGGCGGGUGCUAACGUCCGUCGUGAAGAGGGAAACAACCCAGACCGCCAGCUAAGGUCCCAAAGUCAUGGUUAAGUGGGAAACGAUGUGGGAAGGCCCAGACAGCCAGGAUGUUGGCUUAGAAGCAGCCAUCAUUUAAAGAAAGCGUAAUAGCUCACUGGUCGAGUCGGCCUGCGCGGAAGAUGUAACGGGGCUAAACCAUGCACCGAAGCUGCGGCAGCGACGCUUAUGCGUUGUUGGGUAGGGGAGCGUUCUGUAAGCCUGUGAAGGUGUACUGUGAGGUAUGCUGGAGGUAUCAGAAGUGCGAAUGCUGACAUAAGUAACGAUAAAGCGGGUGAAAAGCCCGCUCGCCGGAAGACCAAGGGUUCCUGUCCAACGUUAAUCGGGGCAGGGUGAGUCGACCCCUAAGGCGAGGCCGAAAGGCGUAGUCGAUGGGAAACAGGUUAAUAUUCCUGUACUUGGUGUUACUGCGAAGGGGGGACGGAGAAGGCUAUGUUGGCCGGGCGACGGUUGUCCCGGUUUAAGCGUGUAGGCUGGUUUUCCAGGCAAAUCCGGAAAAUCAAGGCUGAGGCGUGAUGACGAGGCACUACGGUGCUGAAGCAACAAAUGCCCUGCUUCCAGGAAAAGCCUCUAAGCAUCAGGUAACAUCAAAUCGUACCCCAAACCGACACAGGUGGUCAGGUAGAGAAUACCAAGGCGCUUGAGAGAACUCGGGUGAAGGAACUAGGCAAAAUGGUGCCGUAACUUCGGGAGAAGGCACGCUGAUAUGUAGGUGAAGCGACUUGCUCGUGGAGCUGAAAUCAGUCGAAGAUACCAGCUGGCUGCAACUGUUUAUUAAAAACACAGCACUGUGCAAACACGAAAGUGGACGUAUACGGUGUGACGCCUGCCCGGUGCCGGAAGGUUAAUUGAUGGGGUCAGCGCAAGCGAAGCUCUUGAUCGAAGCCCCGGUAAACGGCGGCCGUAACUAUAACGGUCCUAAGGUAGCGAAAUUCCUUGUCGGGUAAGUUCCGACCUGCACGAAUGGCGUAAUGAUGGCCAGGCUGUCUCCACCCGAGACUCAGUGAAAUUGAACUCGCUGUGAAGAUGCAGUGUACCCGCGGCAAGACGGAAAGACCCCGUGAACCUUUACUAUAGCUUGACACUGAACAUUGAGCCUUGAUGUGUAGGAUAGGUGGGAGGCUUUGAAGUGUGGACGCCAGUCUGCAUGGAGCCGACCUUGAAAUACCACCCUUUAAUGUUUGAUGUUCUAACGUUGACCCGUAAUCCGGGUUGCGGACAGUGUCUGGUGGGUAGUUUGACUGGGGCGGUCUCCUCCUAAAGAGUAACGGAGGAGCACGAAGGUUGGCUAAUCCUGGUCGGACAUCAGGAGGUUAGUGCAAUGGCAUAAGCCAGCUUGACUGCGAGCGUGACGGCGCGAGCAGGUGCGAAAGCAGGUCAUAGUGAUCCGGUGGUUCUGAAUGGAAGGGCCAUCGCUCAACGGAUAAAAGGUACUCCGGGGAUAACAGGCUGAUACCGCCCAAGAGUUCAUAUCGACGGCGGUGUUUGGCACCUCGAUGUCGGCUCAUCACAUCCUGGGGCUGAAGUAGGUCCCAAGGGUAUGGCUGUUCGCCAUUUAAAGUGGUACGCGAGCUGGGUUUAGAACGUCGUGAGACAGUUCGGUCCCUAUCUGCCGUGGGCGCUGGAGAACUGAGGGGGGCUGCUCCUAGUACGAGAGGACCGGAGUGGACGCAUCACUGGUGUUCGGGUUGUCAUGCCAAUGGCACUGCCCGGUAGCUAAAUGCGGAAGAGAUAAGUGCUGAAAGCAUCUAAGCACGAAACUUGCCCCGAGAUGAGUUCUCCCUGACUCCUUGAGAGUCCUGAAGGAACGUUGAAGACGACGACGUUGAUAGGCCGGGUGUGUAAGCGCAGCGAUGCGUUGAGCUAACCGGUACUAAUGAACCGUGAGGCUUAACCUUACAACGCCGAAG
RNAcentral lists this ribosomal RNA (2927 nucleotides) under Escherichia coli. RNAcentral's name for it is "23S ribosomal RNA". It matches the Rfam family "Bacterial large subunit ribosomal RNA". The record is from RNAcentral. Lineage: Bacteria; Pseudomonadati; Pseudomonadota; Gammaproteobacteria; Enterobacterales; Enterobacteriaceae.